Molecule: long non-coding RNA, 1140 nt
Organism: Vicia villosa (hairy vetch)
Lineage: Eukaryota; Viridiplantae; Streptophyta; Magnoliopsida; Fabales; Fabaceae
Exons: 5
Source: RefSeq, a predicted model, not a curated record
GAACUACUAUGUUUCUCUAAUUAUUGUCUUCUAUGUUGUCUUCAACAUUUUUUUGGUGAUGUUUUUUCGCUUGAUUCUAUAGUUUAAUCUUUUUUUCUUUUAAUGACGAAAACUAUUGGAACUCCUCCUAAUUUGAAGAGGCAGCUGAUUUUUUUCGGAGUCAUUGUUACAGCUGGUUUUUUCGGAGUCAUGUUCUUAUCAAUAUUUUGGUUGGUCUGGUGCAGGUGAAUGACUUGGAAAAAGGAGUCGUUGUCGUUGUUAGUGUUGCAUUUCCAGUCGGUUGCUCUCUGUUUUGAUUAUGCCAGAUGCAAUCGGGUGCAACAACUCAAAUGAGGAGAGUUAGAAAUUGCAAUUAUUCGGAUUGCUUUAUAUGAAACAUUAGAAUUUAAAUUUUGCUUUCUGCAUUCCUGUGGUGGAUUGUGUUACCGAAAAGAUGAAAAACCAGAAGAUGAAAACGUAGAUUCUUACUUGUCUAUUGAAGAAGGAAAUUUUGAUCGUCGAACUAUGCCUUUUAUAAAUCUGAAACGGAUUUCAAGAACAGACAAUAGAAAUGAAAAUAAAGGAUGAAGUCAAUCAUCGUAGUUGGUUUGUUCCGAAUUAUCUUCGUCAACCGAAUGGCGGGAGUACUACAUAUGUGCAAAUGAUGAUUUUAAUAUUGGUUUUGGCAAGUCUUAAACAACUCAUUGGAAUUGAAUUGAUAAGCAUUGAUUGAGCACUGAUGUCUAUUUAAAUAAUUCUCAAGUUUUUGCAUACAUCAAGUGUUCUAAUAUAUUGGUUGAUGAAAAAUGGUUCAGUCAAGCUUACAGAGUUUGGGUUGGCAAAGGUAAUCUUCAAUUAAACUAAUUUAUCUUUUUUCAAAGUUUUGCUAAUAUACAGUCCAAAUGUUGGCUUCUCGCAGUAUUGGUCAGAACCGUGUAGGCAGACUAUAUUUUGAACAUGCAGUUUAUAGUUCCUCCCCAAAAGCAAUGAUCGUUAUCCUCAUUAUCAGAGGGAGGCGGGACUGCUGCAAUCUUCUGCAGAAUGAUUUUAUCAAACCUAUUGUUAAGCAUACUCCAAUUUCAGCUACCAUCCUAAUCCUUUAGGUCAGCAACAAUAGGCUCAUCAUGAUUAGGAUAUGUUUCUAACUGUGAAUAAAGGCCA